Molecule: long non-coding RNA, 841 nt
Organism: Catharus ustulatus (Swainson's thrush)
Lineage: Eukaryota; Metazoa; Chordata; Aves; Passeriformes; Turdidae
Exons: 3
Source: RefSeq, a predicted model, not a curated record
GCUGGGUGUUCUGGAUGUCAGGUUUAGUGUUCAGGAUGCCAGGUUUAGGUGUUCAGGAUGUCAGGUUUAGGUGUUCAGGAUGCCAGGCUUUCAGGAUUCAGAUUUAGGUGUUCAGGAUGCCAGGCUUUCAGGAUGCCAGGUUUAGAUGUUCAGGAUGUCAGGUUCAGGUGUUUAGGAUGCCAGGUUCAGGUGUUCAGGAUGCCAGGUUUAGAUGUUCAGGAUGUCAGGUUUAGAUGUUCAGGAUGCCAGGCUUUCAGGAUAUCAGAUUUAGGUGUUCAGGAUGUCAGGUUUAGGUGUUCAGGAUGUCAGGCUUUCAGGAUUCAGAUUUAGGUGUUCAGGAUGUCAGGUUUAGGUGUUCAGGAUGUCAGGCUUUCAGGAUAUCAGAUUUAGGUGUUCAGGAUGUCAGGCUUUCAGGAUGUCAGGUUUAGGUGUUCAGGAUGUCAGGCUUUCAGGAUUCAGAUUUAGGUGUUCAGGAUGCCAGGUUUUCAGGAUGUCAGGUUCAGGCUUUCAGGAUGCCAGGUUUAGGUGUUCAGGAUAUGAGGUUUAGGUUUUCAGGAUGUCACAGGCAGCUCCUUGUCUCCAAAUCACCUUUCCAUGCUCUUCACCCUGUACCCAAGCAAAUCUUCCUGCCCAGUUCUCAUCCAAACGAGGUGACAGCGAAGAGGAAGGGCAGGAGCUGUUUCCCUGCAGAGAUGGAGCAGUGUGGUGUGUCACUGCUCCCAGCUGCCUGCAGCCACUCAGACCCAGCAGUGUGGUCCCUUCUGAGGCAGCUGAGCUUUGCAAAGCUCUUCUGUUUACAGAGCAGCCUCAGAGCUGCUGUCUGUGCUGGCCAAUCCUUCAC